Molecule: long non-coding RNA, 1371 nt
Filed under: Zonotrichia albicollis (white-throated sparrow)
Lineage: Eukaryota; Metazoa; Chordata; Aves; Passeriformes; Passerellidae
Description: lncRNA (ENSZALG00000002127.1)
Source: RNAcentral
GGUGAGGCUGAGGAGUAACCCCUGGCCUUCCUCCCGGGCAGUUCUGGGAUCGCUGCAAGCUCUUCCUGAUGCCGGCCAAGCACCAGCCCGACUACGUGUUCCUGCGGCACGUCCCGCUGCGCCGCAUCCACCUCUUCACGCUGGUGCAGAUCGUCUGCCUGGCCGUGCUCUGGAUCCUCAAAUCCACCGUGGCCGCCAUCAUCUUCCCCGUCAUGGUAACCCCGUCCUUGAUCCAAGUGGGGUUUGCUGGGAUUUAAUGGAAUUUUUGGCAUGGUUCCACCAUGGCUGCCAUCAUCUUCCCUGUCAUGGUGAUCCCAUCCUACAUUGGAAGGGUUUAGUAGAAUUUUUGGUGUGGUCCCACCAUCAUCAUCUUCCCCGUCAUGGUGAUCCCAUCCUUGAUCCAAAGGGGUUUUUUUGGGAUUUAAUGGAAUUUUUGGCAUGGUUCCAUCAUGGCUGCCAUCAUCUUCCCCGUCAUGGUAACCCCGUCCUUGAUCCAAAUGGGGUUUGCUGGGAUUUAAUGGGAUUUUUGGUGUGGUCCCACCAUCAUCAUCUUCCCUGUCAUGGUAAUCCCAUCCUACAUUGGAAGGGUUUUAUGGAAUUUCUGGCGUGGUCCCACCAUCAUCAUCUUCCCCAUCAUGGUGAUCCCAUCCUACAUUGGAAGGGUUUUUUCGGGAUUUUUGGUGUGGUCCCACCAUCAUCAUCUUCCCUAUCAUGGUGAUCCCAUUCUACAUUGGAAGGGUUUUUUGGGAUUUUUGGCAUGGUCCCACCGUGGCUGUCACCAUCUACCCAGUCAUGGUAAUCCCAUCCUUGAACCAAAGGGGUUUUUUUUGGGAUUUAAUGGAAUUUUUGGUGUGGUUCCACCAUGGCUGUCACCAUCUACCCAGUCAUGGUAAUCCCAUCCUCGCUCCAAAGGGGUUUUUGGGAUUUAAGGGUGUUUUUGGCUUGGUGGUCACCACCAGACCUUGGCUUGAGCUGCUCCUGGACCUCUCCCCUGUCAGAUCUUGGCCCUGAUCCUGGUGAGGAGGCUCCUGGAUUUCGUCUUCUCCCAGCACGACCUGGCCUGGAUCGACAACAUCAUCCCCGAGAAGGAGAAGAAGAAGGAGGACGACAAGAAGAAGAAGAAGAAAGGCAACAAAGGCGACAGCAGCAGCGACGAGGAGGUGGGCGCGGGGUCACCGGGGGCUCCCGGGGACAGGGGGACACCCCAGAGCCGGGCAGGGUCACCCGGGCAGUGUCUCAGCUCUGUGUCCCCCCAGGAAAGAGGGCCUCCCCCCGGAGCUCUGCGUUCUGACUCGUCCCCGAACGGCUCCGACAUGGACCGCAGGUAACCGGGACCCCGAUCCCAUCCUUGGGGGGAAAUUUGGGAUCCCC